RNAcentral lists this ribosomal RNA (440 nucleotides) under uncultured bacterium. Its description in RNAcentral is "partial 16S ribosomal RNA". It matches the Rfam family "Bacterial small subunit ribosomal RNA", at positions 338 to 795 of the family's 1533-position model. The record is from RNAcentral.
CCUACGGGUGGCUGCAGUGGGGAAUAUUGCACAAUGGGGGAAACCCUGAUGCAGCGACGCCGCGUGAAGGAAGAAGGAUUUCGGGAUGGAAAAUCCUAUCAGCAGGGAAGAAAAUGACGGUACCUGACUAAUUAGCCCCGGCUAACUACGUGACAGCAGCCGCGGUAAUACGCAGGGGGCAAGGGUUAUCCGGGGUUUCUGGGUGUAAAGGGAGCGUAGGCGGGGAUGCCAGUCAGAAGGGAAAGCCCGGGGGACAACUCCGUGAGAGCUGUUGAAACUGUGUUGCUAGAGUGCGGGAGAGGUAAGUGGAAUGCGUAGUGUAGCGGUGAAAUGCGUAGAUAGUAGGAAGAACACCAAUGGCGAAGGCAGCUUACUGGACUUUAAAUGACGCUGAGGCUCGAAAGCGUGGGGAGCAAACAGGAUUAGAUACCCUUGUAGUC